RNAcentral lists this ribosomal RNA (446 nucleotides) under uncultured bacterium. RNAcentral's name for it is "bacterial SSU rRNA". It matches the Rfam family "Bacterial small subunit ribosomal RNA", at positions 330 to 792 of the family's 1533-position model. The record is from RNAcentral.
UCCAGACUCCUACGGGAGGCAGCAGUGGGGGAUAUUGCACAAUGGGGGGAACCCUGAUGCAGCGACGCCGCGUGGGUGAAGAAGUAUUUCGGUAUGUAAAGCCCUAUCGGCAGGGAAGAAAUUGGACGGUACCUGACUAAGAAGCCCCGGCUAACUACGUGCCAGCAGCCGCGGUAAUACGUAGGGGGCAAGCGUUAUCCGGAUUCACUGGGUGUAAAGGGAGCGUAGACGGCCAUGCAAGCCUGGAGUGAAAGCCCGGGGCCCAACCCCGGGACUGCUCUGGGAACUGUGCGGCUGGAGUGCGGGAGGGGCAGGCGGAAUUCCUGGUGUAGCGGUGAAAUGCUUAGAUAUCACGAAGAACCCCGAUUGCGAAGGCAGCCUGCCGCAGCGUUACUGACGCUGAAGCUCGAAAGCGCGGGUAUCGAACAGGAUUAGAUACCCCAGUA